Molecule: long non-coding RNA, 251 nt
Filed under: Physcomitrium patens
Lineage: Eukaryota; Viridiplantae; Streptophyta; Bryopsida; Funariales; Funariaceae
Description: long non-coding RNA (PPAT_LNC000254)
Source: RNAcentral
AUUUAUCCACCUAAUCUUGAUUGGUACUUGUAUAUUUUCUUAAAAUGUUUUUCUCAUACUCUAUCACCGCCUAAGUCUGUAUGUAUGUGAAUAAUCACACACACAUAUAUAUAUAUAUAUAUACGAGCACACACAAUCACGUGAAGCAAAGACUCUGGACGAUGGAGGGUGCCGUCACAGAUCAUGGCCAAAUAGAAAGGCAUCCAGGACCCGCCAUAGCCACUAUCCUUAAGGAUGGAUGCAUCCUGCGU